Herpailurus yagouaroundi (jaguarundi) is the source of this 1973-nucleotide long non-coding RNA. RefSeq lists it as uncharacterized. The record is from RefSeq and is a predicted model, not a curated record. NCBI's taxonomy places the organism in Eukaryota, Metazoa, Chordata, Mammalia, Carnivora, Felidae. The transcript is spliced from 2 exons.
CAAAGAACUUAUAGAACUCAUAGAAUUUCCAGGUGUUUGAAUCAACCGUUUGGGGUGAGUAGGAUUAAACACAUACUGUUAGCACAGCGUUCAGAGGCCAGGUAAGAUUCUUAAGGGUCACAGUGAGAAAAGGGAAUUUCCUUUGUAAGAACAUGGGAAACCCAGAGCAACUGAGGCAGUCAGUCAACAUCUGCUGGGAAAUAAAACUUGAAUAUAAAGAAGACAAAGUCCAAACACCAAUUUCAGAGAUCAGAGGUAUUGGUACUUAAAUCUUACAAACAUUAUAAUCAAAAAUGUGCAUUCCCCACUGUUCCUGCUUGUUGUACCCACUGAAGGAGCUGGGUGGACUAUGAAGUCAGUGUCUUUAAGUGAAUGUGUAUAAGCACUGUGAUGGAAAAAAUAAAUAAGAGACCUGAAAGUGCCACCUAAGUCCUAUGCACCAUCUGUAUGCAUAACCAUAUCUCAUCCUGGCGGCCAUUCUUCAGUAACCUGCUCUCCAGACAGUUCUAGGUUUUGACUAUUCCAAAUAUGGUUUCUACAUCAACAAAACUCCUAUUCAACCAAGAAAGAAGCAAAGAAUGACUCGAAAGGAAAAGCAGAUUCAUAUUAUAAAAAGCCUUGAAAGCAGUUUCAUUGAGACUGAAAUUUACAUGGGAGACAGCGGCCACUACUGAGUUUGUGCAGAAGAAGUGACACUCAAAAUGUUUUUAAAGAAAGGUACUCCAAUCCUUCUGCUAUCACUAGACAGGACCAUAUGAAAACGAUGGCAGUGUCUUCACUCCAGGAAGUCUUUCAGAGGAGCGACGCUGGCGCAAUGAAUGAUGAGGCCAUUGUUCCUGGGGAACACAGAUGACACCAGCAACAAAAUUAUUGUUUACCAUGUGCAAGCCCUGGUAUCUGAGAGCCUACUGAAUAGAGUUGAUCAUAGGUUGUUUUCCCACUCCUUUUUCUAAAUUAAAGAAAGCAUCUCAACUAAGGCAAUAUGAUAAUUAACUUGACUUCUAUUUGUUCCCUUAUUUCAAAGUAAUUGAAUCCAAACACUAUCCAUCCAAAUCACUGGCCUAAGUCAAUGGUUGCUAAAUGAGGUGCUAAGGCUCUGUUGGGUAUUUUAAAUGUUCCUAAGGGAUGCUGUAGAUUUUACUAUACCAGAAUUAAGAAAGCACAAUGUUUAUUUAAUUAAGGCUUUAUGAGCUGACUGUGUGACUUGCCCACAUCAGCAACUUAGCCUCAAUCUUUUCAAAUCCAAAGUGCACAUAUGCUCUUUAACUGGUGAAUGCAGAAUUCAGCUGCUUCAGGGAAUGGGUACCAAGACCUGUUUCACAAAACUGGCUUGUUCAUAAGGUUAAUAUAAGCAUGUCUACGUCUGAAAGAAGGAUAUGUGAAUCAAAUUGUAAGGGACAAGAACAAACGAUGGAUAAUGAUGACGGAAUUUUAUUAUUGGGAAGUUUAGGUAAUUUAAAAUAAUUAGCAAGACUAAAUGAACUUGAUAUUCUAGGACAGUUGCCUAGCUGUGGGGUUUCUUUAGGAUCUGAACAUACUUCAUCCUUUCCUUGAACACAUUAUUGGGUGAAGAGAACGUAGCAGACGUUUUGAUCUCCAAUAGAUAGGUAAGAAAACUACCAAAUAUAGGUACUUUCUAGACCAAUUUUGCAGAUUGAGUUGUGAGUUCUGAUUUGGUUAAAAGUGUGUAUCUGUUGUUGGUGGAAUAUAAAGACCGUCCUGGGUCAAGAUCACUGCCAAGGCAAUUGGUAAGUAGGAGGAGGCCAAAGAGUAAAAUCCUAUACCAUGCAGAUGUUGGGUGGUUUAGAGAGCAUGUGUGAGAAGAGGGCUGGUCUGAAAGGAUAUGUCCCUUGGGGCCUAAUUGUAGGUUAUGGGCAGAUGCAGCCUUUGAGUUUGGAUAUGGAUUAUUCCCCCAAAGACUUGAGACUAGUAUACACAUGAAAUGGGAAAAUCAAAAACAAAAACACACAAUG